RNAcentral lists this ribosomal RNA (1168 nucleotides) under Citrobacter portucalensis. RNAcentral's name for it is "bacterial LSU rRNA". It matches the Rfam family "Bacterial large subunit ribosomal RNA", at positions 292 to 1471 of the family's 2925-position model. The record is from RNAcentral. Lineage: Bacteria; Pseudomonadati; Pseudomonadota; Gammaproteobacteria; Enterobacterales; Enterobacteriaceae.
GGGGAGCAGCCCAGAGUCUGAAUCAGCAUGUGUGUUAGUGGAAGCGUCUGGAAAGUCGCACGAUACAGGGUGAAAGUCCCGUACACAAAAGUGCAUGUGUUGUGAACUCGAAGAGUAGGGCGGGACACGUGGUAUCCUGUCUGAAUAUGGGGGGACCAUCCUCCAAGGCUAAAUACUCCUGACUGACCGAUAGUGAACCAGUACCGUGAGGGAAAGGCGAAAAGAACCCCGGCGAGGGGAGUGAAAAAGAACCUGAAACCGUGUACGUACAAGCAGUGGGAGCACCCUUUGGGGUGUGACUGCGUACCUUUUGUAUAAUGGGUCAGCGACUUAUAUUCUGUAGCAAGGUUAACCGAAUAGGGGAGCCGAAGGGAAACCGAGUCUUAACUGGGCGUUAAGUUGCAGGGUAUAGACCCGAAACCCGGUGAUCUAGCCAUGGGCAGGUUGAAGGUUGGGUAACACUAACUGGAGGACCGAACCGACUAAUGUUGAAAAAUUAGCGGAUGACUUGUGGCUGGGGGUGAAAGGCCAAUCAAACCGGGAGAUAGCUGGUUCUCCCCGAAAGCUAUUUAGGUAGCGCCUCGUGAAUUCAUCUUCGGGGGUAGAGCACUGUUUCGGCUAGGGGGUCAUCCCGACUUACCAACCCGAUGCAAACUGCGAAUACCGAAGAAUGUUAUCACGGGAGACACACGGCGGGUGCUAACGUCCGUCGUGAAGAGGGAAACAACCCAGACCGCCAGCUAAGGUCCCAAAGUCAUGGUUAAGUGGGAAACGAUGUGGGAAGGCACAGACAGCCAGGAUGUUGGCUUAGAAGCAGCCAUCAUUUAAAGAAAGCGUAAUAGCUCACUGGUCGAGUCGGCCUGCGCGGAAGAUGUAACGGGGCUAAACCAUGCACCGAAGCUGCGGCAGCGACACUAUGUGUUGUUGGGUAGGGGAGCGUUCUGUAAGCCGUUGAAGGUGUAUCGUGAGGUAUGCUGGAGGUAUCAGAAGUGCGAAUGCUGACAUAAGUAACGAUAAUGCGGGUGAAAAACCCGCACGCCGGAAGACCAAGGGUUCCUGUCCAACGUUAAUCGGGGCAGGGUGAGUCGACCCCUAAGGCGAGGCCGAAAGGCGUAGUCGAUGGGAAACAGGUUAAUAUUCCUGUACUUGGUGUUACUGCGAAGGGGGG